AUGCAACUAGUAAGACACACAAAUGCACACGGGUACUCCUUCUCCUCCUAAAUCUGUGCAUACAUCAGAUACUAGUAACUCUAGCACCUGUACCAGCCAGAAUUUCAUUCUGACAUCUGCUUCAACAUUAACACCUGUGCACCAUAUCAAACAUCCUCUUUGACAUCUGUAAACAGAACAACAUUCUUGUUUUAACACCUGUGCACUUCCUUCAACAAUAGAUGUCCUUCAGUUCAGCUACAUACACAACUGCUUCCACAUUCCACAUCAA
RNAcentral lists this long non-coding RNA (271 nucleotides) under Lathyrus oleraceus (garden pea). RNAcentral's name for it is "Pisum sativum (pea) long non-coding RNA (PSAT_LNC026185)". The record is from RNAcentral. Lineage: Eukaryota; Viridiplantae; Streptophyta; Magnoliopsida; Fabales; Fabaceae.